RNAcentral lists this small nuclear RNA (148 nucleotides) under Meriones unguiculatus (Mongolian gerbil). RNAcentral describes it as "U1 spliceosomal RNA (ENSMUGG00000024254.1)". Lineage: Eukaryota; Metazoa; Chordata; Mammalia; Rodentia; Muridae. The record is from RNAcentral.
UUAUUUACCUAGCAGGACACAAAGGUGGUUUUCCCAGAUUAAGAAACAUCCAUUGCACUUUUGGUAUGCUGACCCCUUCGAUGAUCCUAAUUUAGGAAAAUCUGUUGUGUGGUUUGUGGUAAUAGAGGACUGCACUUGCACUCUCCCC